Molecule: long non-coding RNA, 1171 nt
Filed under: Homo sapiens (human)
Lineage: Eukaryota; Metazoa; Chordata; Mammalia; Primates; Hominidae
Description: HSALNT0280353
Source: RNAcentral
AAGAGAGUUAUCAUAUCACAAAUACCACAAUGAUUUUUAUCUGAAUGGCUUCCUUCCAAAAUUCCAGAUCCAUCUAAACUUUUACUUCAUUGGAGGGUCCUUCCUGACCCAUGCAACUCAACAAAAAACUCUCACAGUUUUUAUAUGCUUUGUUGGGGAUUAACCCAUCUUGCAUUGCAUUGCUAGCUUAGUAUGUCUAGCAUGGGCAUGCCUGCUGAAGUUUGGAACUUCCCAUCAAGGAAACAGGAAAAUGCCAUUGGCAAUGAGCUGAAGACUGAUUUACUCUACCAGGAGCAGCAGGACAUCUGGGGAUGAGAAGAUGGAGAGAUCAUCCUUAUAUAAUGUUGCAGUCUGGAAGCAUCACUCUCAAAAAGCCAUUGUAGAGAAUCCAAGCCGAGUUUAAGAGUGCUGUGGAAAUACACUGCUGCUACUGCUGUUUCUAUUACUGUUUGAUGCUGGGACUCUUAUGCUCCAACCACGUUUUCACCCAGCUGAGUCGCCUUCGUAUCACGCCUUUCCAGUUCAACAAAGUGUGGACAGCUGUGCAGAAAUAUGAUUGGACAAAAAUGUUGUGAUCUAAAGCUAAUGGACUGAGUGUGGAAACCCAACAAGGCCUGUCUGUCUAGAUUCUUCUUGGCCUCUCUGAGCAGCGUUCCUUCCUUCUGGGUGUAAGGCAAGACCCUCUCUGGAGUGGGGGUGUUAUGACCUACAGUCAAACAAGGUUUUGAUAGACUAGAAAAAUGACAAGACUCCAAGUCCUUGAAGAGGAGGAAAAGUGUGAAGAAAACAAAAAAGGGAGAUUUAUGUCUGCUUCACCAUUUUGCCCAAGACUUGACCUGUCAUACACUGAAGCUCAGAGAGGAAGAAAGGACCGUGUGAGAGAAGAAGGGAACAGCCUUUCAUCCAUAGGAGAAGUUCGUCUAUGACAAAGCCACUAGCUCCAUGUGGCCGCUGAGCACUCAAAAUGUGGCCAGUCUGAAUUGAGAUAUGUUGUUAGUAUAAAGUCCACAUCGGCUUUUUGAGCACUUUGUAUGAGAAAAAAGAAUACCAAAUAUCUCCUUAAUAAUUGUUACAUUGAUUAUAUGUUGAACUGAUAACAUUAUGGAUAUAUUGGAUUAAAUAAAAUAAAUUAUUAAAAUCAAAUAAAAAAUAAAAUCAAUUUCACCUGUUU